ACGCUCGACACCUACGGGAGGCAGCAGUUGGGAAUAUUGGACAACGGAGGAAACUCUGAUCCAGUGACGCCGCGUGAAGGAAGAAGGUCUUCGGAUUGUAAACUUAUUUUGUCAGGGAAGAAAAAUGCUGUACCUGAAGAAAAAGCACCGGCUAACUACGUGCCAACAGCCGCGGUAAUCUGAGCGGGCUGGCAAGGC
This 198-nucleotide ribosomal RNA is filed under the name uncultured bacterium. Its description in RNAcentral is "partial 16S ribosomal RNA". It matches the Rfam family "Bacterial small subunit ribosomal RNA", at positions 328 to 539 of the family's 1533-position model. The record is from RNAcentral.